Podarcis lilfordi (Lilford's wall lizard) is the source of this 72-nucleotide non-coding RNA. The record is from the annotation of a GenBank genome assembly. Lineage: Eukaryota; Metazoa; Chordata; Lepidosauria; Squamata; Lacertidae.
GCCAAGAUAGCUCAGUCAGUAGAGCAUGAGACUCAAUCUCAGGCUUGUGGGUUCAAACCCAACUCUGUGAUU